RNAcentral lists this transfer RNA (73 nucleotides) under Camelus bactrianus (Bactrian camel). It matches the Rfam family "tRNA". From Rfam's summary of the family: Transfer RNA (tRNA) molecules are approximately 80 nucleotides in length. Lineage: Eukaryota; Metazoa; Chordata; Mammalia; Artiodactyla; Camelidae. RNAcentral also lists the same sequence under 2 other names. The record is from Rfam by way of RNAcentral.
GAGGGUAUAGCUCAAGUGGUAGAGCACAUGCUCAGCAUAUACAAGGUCCUGGGUUCAAUCCCCAGUACCUCCU